UAUUUCGGUGGAUGGACUUCAAAGUCAAGGAAGAGGUCUACUACCCAGAAUCACCCUACCUUCAACAAGGAUGUUGUAUUGUUACCUCAUCCAGCAUGGAGUGAAGUUUGCAAGCAUAAAACCAGAAGAAGGCUUCAUGAAAGUGGCUGUAUUUUAAGUGCCUUUGAAAUGAGAAAAAUGUGGGACUGCAGGACGGUUAUUGCAGAGAUUAGGGAAGCAUUCAAGGACAGAAUUCCUGAGGAUGUCGGUAUUGAACUUUUGAUGCCAUGUGGAAACAAAUUGGUUUCACCGAAGUUGCGCGAAGGACAGGAACUGAAUGGCUUUAUGAUUCACAAAGUAUUCAGAUCAAAGGCUGUGUACAUUAGACCAUCAACCAUCCUUCCAGUUCCUGUAAGCUUUAAACAAAUAAUAAUUGUAAAGAGGAGAUUUUUGCUCGGUUUGGAGCGCACAGUUUUCAUGGUUUGGUCAAUUUGUUU
Long non-coding RNA from Sander lucioperca (pikeperch), 476 nucleotides. RefSeq lists it as uncharacterized. The record is from RefSeq and is a predicted model, not a curated record. The transcript has 3 exons. Lineage: Eukaryota; Metazoa; Chordata; Actinopteri; Perciformes; Percidae.